GCCCCUGUAGCUCAGUUUGGUAGAGCACGUCCUUGGUAAGGACGAGGCCAGCGGUUCAAAACCGCUCGGGGGCU
Molecule: transfer RNA, 74 nt
Filed under: Candidatus Omnitrophota bacterium
Lineage: Bacteria; Pseudomonadati; Candidatus Omnitrophota
Description: Candidatus Omnitrophica bacterium (sediment metagenome) tRNA-Thr
Rfam family: tRNA
About the family: Transfer RNA (tRNA) molecules are approximately 80 nucleotides in length.
Source: RNAcentral